UGGGGAAUAUUGGACAAUGGGCGCAAGUCUGAUCCAGCAACGCCGCGUGAGUGACGAAGGCUUUCGGGUCGUAAAGCUCUGUGGGGAGAGACGAAUAAGUAGAGGCUAAUAUCUUCUAUGAUGACGGUACCUCCUUAGCAAGCACCGGCUAACUACGUGCCAGCAGCCGCGGUAAUACGUGGGGUGCGAGCGUUGUUCGGAAUUACUGGGCGUAAAGCGUGUGUAGGCGGCUCAUUAAGUCUGAUGUGAAAUCUCUGGGCUUAACCCAGAAACUGCAUCGGAAACUGGUGAGCUAGAAUUCGGGAGAGGGUCGUGGAAUUCCUGGUGUAGAGGUGAAAUUCGUAGAUAUCAGGAGGAACACCGGUGGCGAAGGCGGCGACCUGGACCGAUAUUGACGCUAAGACACGAAAGCGUGGGGAGCAAACAG
Molecule: ribosomal RNA, 427 nt
Filed under: uncultured bacterium
Lineage: Bacteria
Description: bacterial SSU rRNA
Rfam family: Bacterial small subunit ribosomal RNA
Source: RNAcentral